GGAUGUGAGGGCGAUCUGGCUGUGACAUUUGGCUGGCUAGACAGGUGUCCCCUUCUUCCCUCACCACUCCAUGUGUGUCCCUCCUGAAGCUGCGCGCUCGGUCGAAGAGGACGACCUUCCCCGGUAGAGGAGGACCGUUCCUCGGUCAAGUGUAUAGGAGUAGCUGUGCUCCCUGCCAGAACCUCCAAACAAGCUCUCAAAUCUUUUGCCCUCUUUUUACUGAGUUAGGUCUGUUUUCUUAUUAUUGAAUUUUGAGGGUUUUUAUCUAUUCUGGAACAAGUCAUUUAUCGAAUAUGUGAUUUGCAAAUAUU
RNAcentral lists this small nuclear RNA (311 nucleotides) under Propithecus coquereli (Coquerel's sifaka). RNAcentral's name for it is "7SK RNA (ENSPCOG00000008658.1)". It matches the Rfam family "7SK RNA". From Rfam's summary of the family: 7SK was discovered as an abundant small nuclear RNA in the mid-70s but a possible function has only recently been suggested. The record is from Rfam by way of RNAcentral. Lineage: Eukaryota; Metazoa; Chordata; Mammalia; Primates; Indriidae.